This 75-nucleotide transfer RNA is filed under the name Podarcis lilfordi (Lilford's wall lizard). RNAcentral describes it as "tRNA.Val". Lineage: Eukaryota; Metazoa; Chordata; Lepidosauria; Squamata; Lacertidae. The record is from RNAcentral.
GGAGGGCCAUAGCUCAAUGAUCAGAGCACCUGCUUUACAUGCAAAAGGUCCCAGGUUCAAGCCCCAGCAUCUCCA